Molecule: ribosomal RNA, 241 nt
Filed under: uncultured bacterium
Lineage: Bacteria
Description: partial 16S ribosomal RNA
Rfam family: Bacterial small subunit ribosomal RNA
Source: RNAcentral
UACGGAGGGUGCGAGCGUUAAUCGGAAUUACUGGGCGUAAAGCGCACGCAGGCGGCUUGUUAAGCUAGAGGUGAAAGCCCCGCGCUCAACGUGGGAACUGCCUUUAGAACUGGCAGGCUAGAGUCUUGGAGAGGGGAGUGGAAUUCCAGGUGUAGCGGUGAAAUGCGUAGAUAUCUGAGAGACAUAGUGGAGAGCGGCUCCCUGGCCAAAAGACUGACGCUCAUGUGCGAAAGUGUGGGUA